GAUGCUGCAAAAAGAGAAAUGGAGUUUUAGCAGCAGGAAGGUGUCGCUGAAUGGCAAUAAGAGCACAACCACCCUUUGCUCUGCCUGCUGUCGGAGGUACCCCGCUCUCAGGGGGAUGAUUGCUCUUCAGCACUUGGCCAAGGUCAGACAGGAAAAUGGAGAUCGAGCACAUCCACAAAAGCGGUGGCUGGUUGGGAUCGCAUCGGUGAAGUGGCAUGCUCGCUGGAAAGAAACAGCGGCUGUGCUGGCUGCAGAGGAACCUGGCUGCACGGCACGGAGUGCUUCGACAGCCACCACUCCCGUGAAAGCAAGGGACACAGCCAGCAGCAGCGGGGACUGGGCUGUGCCCUGCUCCCCGACACCGAGAAGCACCAGGGCUGACGCCGUCUGCACAGUUGCCUUGUGUGCUGCUGCCUUUGCUGUGCUUGGUAGUGCAGCUGAUGCUCUCACGGGCAGGGUCUUGGGGUCCAGGACCUCACUGGAGAGACUAACUCCUUUCAAAAGGUCCACUUUCUCUCCACUGUCAUGCUCUCUCUCUCAGUUCCUUUGGGGCAGGAAUUUCUCAAGCUUAGUUUUGGUCUUCAUGCCGUGGUUUGAAGGACUGAAGGACUGUUUCAGCAAAAUUGUUGAGCUUUUCUUUUUUUUUUUUUUUUUAACUGAAGUAUAUAGCAGUGACUAAGCAAAAUACUUUUUUUUUUUUUAACAUUGUUUAACUGUUUAAAAAUAAUUCAGUUUUCAAACUCAGUGUUUUUGUCAGUUGGGGUGUACAUCUAACGUGGCAGGGAACAGAUAUAAACAAAUAAAAUGGUUGUUAAAAUGCGGGAGCGAUAGGAA
Molecule: long non-coding RNA, 834 nt
Filed under: Anser cygnoides (Swan goose)
Lineage: Eukaryota; Metazoa; Chordata; Aves; Anseriformes; Anatidae
Description: lncRNA (ENSACDG00005018197.1)
Source: RNAcentral